GGAGAAAAGUAGGGGAUCGAAAGACCUUAUGCUUUUGGAGCGGCCGAUGUCUGAUUAGCUAGUUGGUAAGGUAAAGGCUUACCAAGGCAACGAUCAGUAGUUGGUCCGAGAGGACGACCAGCCACACUGGGACUGAGACACGGCCCAGACUCCUACGGGAGGCAGCAGUGGGGAAUUUUGGACAAUGGGCGCAAGCCUGAUUCAGCAAUGCCGCGUGAGUGAAGAAGGCCUUCGGGUUGUAAAGCUCUUUCAGUCGAGAAGAAAAGAUCGUGACUAAUAAUCAUGAUUCAUGACGGUAUCGACAGAAGAAGCACCGGCUAACUACGUGCCAGCGGCCGCGGUAAUACGCAGGGUGCAAGCGUUAAUCGGAAUUACUGGGCGUAAAGGGUGCGCAGGCGGUUCUGCAAGUCAGAUGUGAAAUCCC
RNAcentral lists this ribosomal RNA (424 nucleotides) under uncultured Nitrosomonas sp. RNAcentral describes it as "bacterial SSU rRNA". It matches the Rfam family "Bacterial small subunit ribosomal RNA", at positions 198 to 603 of the family's 1533-position model. The record is from RNAcentral. Lineage: Bacteria; Pseudomonadati; Pseudomonadota; Betaproteobacteria; Nitrosomonadales; Nitrosomonadaceae.